This 497-nucleotide ribosomal RNA is filed under the name uncultured bacterium. RNAcentral describes it as "partial 16S ribosomal RNA". It matches the Rfam family "Bacterial small subunit ribosomal RNA", at positions 28 to 507 of the family's 1533-position model. The record is from RNAcentral.
GAUGAACGCUGGCGGCGUGCCUAAUACAUGCAAGUCGAGCGAACAGACGAGGAGCUUGCUCCUCUGACGUUAGCGGCGGACGGGUGAGUAACACGUGGAUAACCUACCUAUAAGACUGGGAUAACUUCGGGAAACCGGAGCUAAUACCGGAUAAUAUAUUGAACCGCAUGGUUCAAUAGUGAAAGACGGUUUUGCUGUCACUUAUAGAUGGAUCCGCGCCGCAUUAGCUAGUUGGUAAGGUAACGGCUUACCAAGGCAACGAUGCGUAGCCGACCUGAGAGCGGGGGCAGCCAGACGAUGGCGGAGACACGGACAGGGCAACGGCGGGAGGCCGCAGGGGGGAGUGUUUGGGAAGGGGCGAAGGACUGACAGAGCAAGGUCGAGUGAAAGAAGAAGGGUGUAAGUACCUAUAACUGUGUUAACAGGAAAGAAAAAAAAGGUAAGGAACAACGCGGGUCUAGACGGUACGGAAAUAGAAAGCAAAGCCUAGUUAAAUG